AUGUGUAAUAGGGAAGGAUUCAAGUCAAAAGAUAGUAACGAGACAGAUGACCCCUUGAAGAAAAGGCGUAAGCAAACAAAUACGCGAUGCGGUUGUGAUGCCCAUAUCUUUGUUAGACUUUGUGGGGACAACACCUACAAGAUAGACUCAUGGGUUGAGCACCAUGUUCAUGGUCUUGUAUCACCUAAUAAGCGGCAUUUGAUCAGAUCGAAUCGUACAGUUAGUGAGAGGGCAAAGAAUACUUUAUACACAUGUCAUAAGGCAAGCAUUGGAACCUCUCAGGCAUAUAGGCUCCUGCAAGUUAGCGAGGGCGGAAUUCCGAAUGUUGGCUGCUCAAAGAGGGACUUGCAGAAUUACUACCAAGCACUCAGGUAUAAAAUCAGAGAUGCAGAUGCUCAAAUGUUUAUGGCCCAAUUAGCUAGAAAGCAUGAAGUGAAUUCAGCAUUUUUCUAUGAUUUUGACGUGAAUGAUGCGGGGAAGCUAUUGCGUGUGUUCUGGGCGGAUGCCACAGGCAGGAAGAACUAUAGUCACUUUGGUGAUGUCAUAUCCUUUGAUUCUACAUAUACCACUAAUCAGUACAACAUGAUAUUUGCACCAUUUACCGGGGUUAAUCAUCACUUACAAAGUGUAUUUUUUUGCUGCUGCAUUCUUAUCAAAUGA
RNAcentral lists this ribosomal RNA (660 nucleotides) under Triticum aestivum (bread wheat). RNAcentral's name for it is "partial small subunit ribosomal RNA". Lineage: Eukaryota; Viridiplantae; Streptophyta; Magnoliopsida; Poales; Poaceae. The record is from RNAcentral.